This 274-nucleotide ribosomal RNA is filed under the name uncultured bacterium. RNAcentral's name for it is "partial 16S ribosomal RNA". It matches the Rfam family "Bacterial small subunit ribosomal RNA", at positions 523 to 796 of the family's 1533-position model. The record is from RNAcentral.
AUACGGAGGGUGCAAGCGUUAUUCGGAAUCACUGGGCGUAAAGGACUCGUAGGCGGGUUGGCAAGUCAGAUGUGAAAUCCUACAGCUUAACUGUAGAACUGCAUUUGAAACUGCUAACCUAGAGUAUGGGAGGGGGAGAUGGAAUUAGUGGUGUAGGGGUAAAAUCCAUAGAUAUCACUAGGAAUACCGAAAGCGAAGGCGAUCUCCUGGAACAUAACUGACGCUAAGGCGUGAAAGCGUGGGGAGCAAACAGGAUUAGAUACCCUAGUAGUCC